This 559-nucleotide long non-coding RNA is filed under the name Homo sapiens (human). RNAcentral describes it as "non-protein coding SMIM2-AS1:12". Lineage: Eukaryota; Metazoa; Chordata; Mammalia; Primates; Hominidae. The record is from RNAcentral.
GUCUUGUGACCCGGAAUCAUGGUGAUCUAAAAGAGCCCUGUGACUCUGGGAAAUUUGUUAUCAAAGGAUGUUAGCCACAAGUCCUGUUGGCAAAUGGACCCCAGGUGGCCUGCAGUGCCAAGCUGUUUCCCUGCCAGCCUCCCAGUCUGGCCCUGACUCUCCAAUGUGUCACAGAAUAAAGAAAAAGACUGGGAGAGAGAUGGGAGCUGAUAGACCAGAGGAGACCAAAGACUGAAACUGAAGACUAAACCAUGGAAAUUGGGAACAAGCACUUACUCGCUUAGAGGGUGAAAAAAGUGAAUUUGCCUACAGGGCCAAUUUGGAAGCACCUCUCCCUGGAAGCCAGUCAAUGAAGAGCCAUUGGAGGAUUUUAAAUAAGGAACCGAAAAAUGGAGUCUGAAAAUAGAGGCGCAGAGACCGGUCAACCACAAUGAAGAACAAGCCAUUUUGACCUCCAUCCUGGCUCAUCUCCUCUGUGUUCUCAUAGCAUCAUAUUAUAGAAUGGAUCACAAACGCCUUUGCAGUUGCCUAUUUAUUUGUCCAUUUCUCCCUCCAGACU